Molecule: ribosomal RNA, 253 nt
Filed under: uncultured bacterium
Lineage: Bacteria
Description: partial 16S ribosomal RNA
Rfam family: Bacterial small subunit ribosomal RNA
Source: RNAcentral
UACGUAGGGUGCGAGCGUUGCCCGGAUUUAUUGGGCGUAAAGGGCGCGUAGGCGGCUCGGCACGUCCGUUGUGAAAUCGCCCGGCUCAACUGGGCGGGGUCAGCGGAUACGGUCGAGCUUGAGCAAGCUAGGGGGCAAUGGAAUUCCCGGUGUAGUGGUGGAAUGCGUAGAGAUCCGGAGGAACCCCAGAGGCGAAGGCGACGCCCUGGCUCGUACCUGACGCUCAGCCACGAAAGCAUGGGGAGCGAACGGG